CGUCAAGUCAUCAUGCCCCUUAUGUCCAGGGCUGCACGCAUGCUACAAUGGCCAGUACAAUGGGCUGCGAACUCGCGAGAGUGAGCCAAUCCCCAAAGCUGGCCUCAGUUCGGAUUGGAGUCUGCAACUCGACUCCAUGAAGUCGGAGUCGCUAGUAAUCGCAGAUCAGCAACGCUGCGGUGAAUACGUUCCCGGGCCUU
RNAcentral lists this ribosomal RNA (200 nucleotides) under uncultured organism. RNAcentral describes it as "partial small subunit ribosomal RNA". It matches the Rfam family "Bacterial small subunit ribosomal RNA", at positions 1183 to 1382 of the family's 1533-position model. The record is from RNAcentral.